GCAAGUCGAGGGGCAGCAUUGGUACUUGUACCAGAUGGCGACCGGCGAACGGGUGCGUAACGCGUAUGCAACCUACCUUAUACAAAAGGAUAGCCCAUGGAAACGUGGAUUAAUACUUUAUAGUACUAUAAAGCUGCAUAGUUUAAUAGUUAAAAUUUCGAUGGUAUAAGAUGGGCAUGCGUAUGAUUAGGUAGUUGGUGAGGUAACAGCUCACCAAGCCAACGAUCAUUAGGGGUUCUAAGAGGGAGAGC
This 251-nucleotide ribosomal RNA is filed under the name uncultured bacterium. RNAcentral describes it as "partial 16S ribosomal RNA". It matches the Rfam family "Bacterial small subunit ribosomal RNA", at positions 57 to 305 of the family's 1533-position model. The record is from RNAcentral.